GAAAAACAAUCGUCUUUUCACUUUUAACAAGGUGUUGAUGUUGUGUUGGAAAUAGUGGGUUGAACCUGGAUUGAAAACUAAAUGAACGCCGUUAAAAUUUUAUAAAUCAAUCCCCUUCCCCAGAGAAAAAGAAAAAAAAACCAAACAAUACGACUUAAACACAAAUUAUAUCUAGAAUACAGACUGUAUUCGUUGUUAAUCACCUGCAGAUCUUUCAUUUAAAUUCAG
RNAcentral lists this long non-coding RNA (228 nucleotides) under Mytilus galloprovincialis (Mediterranean mussel). The record is from RNAcentral. Lineage: Eukaryota; Metazoa; Mollusca; Bivalvia; Mytilida; Mytilidae.